Molecule: long non-coding RNA, 1281 nt
Filed under: Cricetulus griseus (Chinese hamster)
Lineage: Eukaryota; Metazoa; Chordata; Mammalia; Rodentia; Cricetidae
Description: lncRNA (ENSCGRG00015033459.1)
Source: RNAcentral
AUAACAAAGAAACAGAGGAGAUCUAGCUCCAGCUCCCGAAAAGUUUCCCUCUGACUUCUACAUGAAAGCUGUGACACACAUACACAAAUAAAUAAAUGCCAAACUUUUUGGAGGGGUGGGGAGAGUUGAGACAGGGUUUCUCUGUGCAACAGCCCUGUCUGUCUUGGAACUCACUCUGUAGACCAGGCUGGCCUAGAAUUCACAAAGAUCCACCUGCCUCUGCCUCCCAAUUGCUGGGAUUAAAGGUGUGCACCACCAAUGCUCAGCUAGUUUUUGUUUUGUUUAUUUUAAGAUAAUAGAAACAUAUUCUUAUAUGUGACUGGGUAUUGCUAUGCUGGCCUCAAACUGACACUGUAGCUAAGGCUGUCCUUGAACUCCUGACCCUUCUCCCCCUAUCUCACAGGUAUAUGGCAUCAUAGUUCUUUUUGUUUUAUUUUUUGAAGCAGUGUGACUGUGUUACAUAGGCUGGCCUGAAACUGCUAUUCCUCUUGCCUUAGCUUCCUUAAUGCUGGGAAUAGAUAGAUGUGUGCCAGUGUUUCGACUUUUUAUUUUAAAUCAAGGUCACACAGUAUUGUCCAGUCUGGUGCAAAUUCCUGGCCUCAAAUGGUCCUCCAACCUCAGCAUCCUGAGGUUUUUGACUAGUGACUUGCAUCGAGUCAGACAACAACAGAAGAACAACAAUGCUGCAGAUUGAUCCAAAUAUGUACUUUCUGGAUAUGGCCCAGACUCUACAACUUGGUAACCUGUGACCUAUACUGUUCCACAUUCUGUAGGGAAAGCAAAGGUUUUUGGUUGCCAGCCACGGAGAAGUGACUCUGGCUCAUUUCAUCGGGAAAGGAAUUCCUAAGGAGGAUGCAGAGAGCUUUAGAAUUGAGGGUUCCGAGUCUAAAUGGAAUCCAGCCUCUGAAGCUGCUGCCUUCCAUCGUCCUGAUGUUCCAGAGAAGAAGCGGCCACCAGUCUGAACCUGAGUCCCAGCACAGACAAAGGGCACUAACCACUUCUGGGUGUAGGCAUACACAAUGAAGUCAGUGACUGUCAUGUAGGGUCAUGAUAAGUUCAGUCUUAGGGGCGCUACAAUGUAUAAGGCAAUUGGGGAAGCUGGAGAGAUGACCCAGUGAUUUAAAGCACUUGCUGCUGUUCCAGAGGACCUGAGUUCAGUUCCCAGCACCCAUUUUUUAUGGCUCUCAACUGUCUGUAAUUCCACCUCCAGGGGAUCCAACACCUUCUGGCCUUCACAGGCCUCACACAGACACAUUAAAAAUAAAUACAAUUUUAAAAGGC